UGGGGAAUAUUGGACAAUGGGCGCAAGCCUGAUCCAGCCAUGCCGCGUGAGUGAUGAAGGCCUUAGGGUUGUAAAGCUCUUUUAGCAGGGACGAUAAUGACGGUACCUGCAGAAAAAGCCCCGGCCAACUUCGUGCCAGCAGCCGCGGUAAUACGAAGGGGGCUAGCGUUGCUCGGAAUCACUGGGCGUAAAGCGCACGUAGGUGGGUCGUUAAGUCGGGGGUGAAAUCCCAGAGCUCAACUCUGGAACUGCCUUCGAUACUGGCGACCUUCGAGUUCGGGAGAGGUGAGUGGAACUGCGAGUGUAGAGGUGAAAUUCGUAGAUAUUCGCAAGAACACCAGUGGCGAAGGCGGCUCACUGGCCCGAUACUGACACUGAGGUGCGAAAGCGUGGGGAGCAA
This 400-nucleotide ribosomal RNA is filed under the name uncultured bacterium. RNAcentral's name for it is "bacterial SSU rRNA". It matches the Rfam family "Bacterial small subunit ribosomal RNA", at positions 355 to 771 of the family's 1533-position model. The record is from RNAcentral.